This 874-nucleotide long non-coding RNA is filed under the name Homo sapiens (human). RNAcentral's name for it is "HSALNT0217940". Lineage: Eukaryota; Metazoa; Chordata; Mammalia; Primates; Hominidae. The record is from RNAcentral.
AAAAAAAAAAAAAAAAAAAAAAUGGUGGCCAGGCGUAGUUGCUCACGUUUAUAAUCCCAGCACUUGGGGCCGUGCGCAGUGGCUCAAGCCUGUAAUCCCAGCACUUGAGAGGCCAAGGCAGGCAGAUCACUUGAGGUCAGGAGUUCGAAACCAGCCUGGCCGACAUGGUGAAACCCCAUCUCUACUAAAAAUAGGAAAGUAGCCGGGCAUGGUGACAGACGCCAGUAAUGCCAGCUAUUCAGGAGGCUGAGGCAGGAGAAUCGCUUGAACCCGAGAGGCGGAGGUUGCAAUGAGCUGAGAUCAUGCCAUUGCACUCCAGCCUGGGCAACAAGAGCGAAACUCCGUCUCAAAUCAUCAUCAUCAUCAUCAUCAUCAUCAUCAUCAUCCCAGCACUUUGGGAGGCCAAGACCAGAGGAUUCUUUGAGGCCAGGAGUUUGAGACCAGCCUGGGAAACAGUGAGACCCCAUUAAAAAAAAAAAAUUGUGAUUAAAUUUCUUCAUAUGCAAACACCAUUUAAAAAGGUUUGGGAAGUAUUUUUUAAUUUUAAAAGGUGGUGAUGAAAGACCUUUCACAUUAUCUUUACCAUUUAAGAAGAUGUGCAAUUGCAUAAGCUGCCUAGAACUAGGUGUGGUGUCUUUAAUAGCACCUAAAUCUAGAGACACUAUCUACAAAUGCACUGACAUUUUUCACUUUUCCUUAUUUGUCACUUUUACAAGUUGCCCAAUGUGUAAUUUAAAUGCUAGAUUGCAACUAUUUGUCACUAAUUAAAAAUAGUUAUAUAUUUAACAGUUUUAUCUUUGCCAUGGUUUAAAAAAUGAAAUCAAACAAAAAUAUUUCAUCUUGAAAAUAUUAUUCUUUAAAAAUUAUAUUUAGU